GUGAGAGCGAUGCUCGAAAAGGCGCGCUCCAGGGCUAGGCUCCAGGGUGCGAAGGCUCGAGGCUGACGCUAGGGGGCAAGGAGAGGUGGCAGGGACAACAUCCGCGAGUGGGGACCCUCGGACCGCGGGAGUCUGGAGAAGUGCGGGCGCCGCGGACCUGUCACGGUAGAGACUGUCCAGCGCGGAGGGAGGCGGGCUGCGCCGAGCUUCUAGCUCCGCUGGCCCCGCUCGGGGCUCCGGGGAAAGGAGCAGCGGCGGCUCCGCCUCCUCGGCAUUGGGGGCGGCCUCCUCCUGCUCCCGCCCAGCAGAGACCACGAGUCCCAGGGCUCCCCUCCAAGGACAUCAGCAGCCGCCACGGCCCGGUGCUGACCCACUUUCCCUCCCGCCCGCCGAGCCCCAGGCAGAGAAUAAACAGGGCAACCGAGCAGGUGCGAGCCGCUGGGAGGGGCCGAAGCCCGGACUGCCCCGCCCCGCCUCUGCCGCGGGGAGAGAGGGCCAGCCCUGGAGGAGGUGUUGAAAUGCGUGAAGGGUGAAGCCCUUCUAGACCUAAGGGGUCCAGGGCUCAGGCUGCCACCACUGCAUCUUGUACUUGACCCCCAUCCCCUGCCUUCUGUCAGCCAGCCAUCUGGCAGGCCAAACUCCACACUUGACCUCCCCACCGCCACAUCUGAGGAGGAAGCAAAACCUUUCAGGAAAAAGGAAACCCCCAGACAAGGGGAAGAGGAUAACAGAUCUGCCGCUGGACAGAGGCUGCUGAGCUGAUGCUUCCCAGACAGCCUUGCUGUUGAGUGUGUUUUCAUGAUAGUAGUUACGAAGUUUUCAUGAAGUAGUUGGUGAGUAGUUCUCACCAAUGGAGGAAAGGAGACUUGAGGUGGAAGCCGCUUUAGUGCCUGGGCCCCUCUCCAUGCUGCCUAGAGUCUGGCUGUGGCAGCAGCCCUUCUGGGAGGGAGCAGUGCCCUCAUGGUCAGUGAGCAACAGGAGGGAAGGAGUCUGGAGCCCUGAGUGGCCAUCAGGAGCCCAGCUGCUCCUCAUCUCAGAAUGGUAAUCUAGAAAGAAACUGCAGUGUGUAAUUUUAUGUGUUUACUUUGCUGGGCAGCAGUGCCCAGAUAUCUGGUUAGGCAUGAUUCUAGAUGUUUCUGUGAAGGUAUUUUUUUAGAUGAGCUUAACAAUUAAGUUAGCAGACUUUUACAUUUAAAGUAAAGCAGAUUGCACAUCAUAAUGUGGGUGGGCCACACCCAAUCAGUUGAAAGUCUUAAGAGGAAAAAAAAGACAUCUCCUGAACAUGAAGGAAUUCCAACUGUAACUUCAACUCUUCCAGCUUUCUCUCUCUCUCCCUCUCUCCCUCUCUCUCUCUCACACACACACAGACACCUGUACCUUAAAGUUCUUUGUCUUCAUAUGACUUUCUAGGAAUUUUGCAUAUUAAGCACUUUAUCCUUUAGAUGAUUAUUUGCAUGACAGAUAAUUUUUUUGUUGUCAGUGUCUUAUCUCUUCAUUUUGUUUGGGGUGGCUUUCAUCCUAGAGAAUGUAGUAGUUACAACUCUUUUUUCAUUUUAUUUUUUUAUUUUAAUGGAAAUUAUUUUU
Molecule: long non-coding RNA, 1584 nt
Organism: Phacochoerus africanus (Common warthog)
Lineage: Eukaryota; Metazoa; Chordata; Mammalia; Artiodactyla; Suidae
Exons: 3
Source: RefSeq, a predicted model, not a curated record